Molecule: non-coding RNA, 2533 nt
Organism: Pelobates cultripes (western spadefoot toad)
Lineage: Eukaryota; Metazoa; Chordata; Amphibia; Anura; Pelobatidae
Source: the annotation of a GenBank genome assembly
GUUCCGUUCUAAAACAAUUUAUAAUAUUCUUUCUAUUUUCUAUCUCUUCAUUACGCCAUAGCAAUCAUCCAAUUGUAUACGUUAGUCCUUCUCCAAUUGUCGUCUAUUUGCAAUGCACACAGUGAUAUAAUAUUUACACUGCCAGGAGUGCUUAGACUCUUAAUUUAAUUUGCCCGCAUUAUAUACUGUUAGACUCUCCUUGUGUGUGACCGUCAUUACUCUCCUGAUUUAAAAUAUACACUUAUUAGACUACUUGAUUUAAUAUCUCUGCAAAGUGCAGCCAUUAAGACUCUUUGAACAUAGUCAUCAGGUUACGCAGAUUUUAUAUUUAAGUGACUUGCAUUUCUUAGGCCCCUGAGUUUAUAUUCACACAAUGUGUGGUUGUUAGACCCCCUGACUUCACAUAUACGCAAUAGGCAGUCAUUAGAUCCCUGACUUUACAUUUACGUAAUAGGCAGUCAUUAGACCCCCUGACUUCACAUAUGCGCAAUAUUAUUAUUAUUGCCAUUUAUAUAGUGCCAACAGAUUCCGCAGCGCUUAUACACGGUCAUUAAACCCCCUGACUUUACAAUGACGUAAUAGGCAGUCAUUAGACCCCCUGACUUUACAUUUACGUAAUAGGCAGUCAUUAGACCCUCUAAAUUUAUAUUUACGCAAUAGGCAGUCAUUAGACCCCCUGACUUUACAUUUACGCAAUAUGCAGUCAUUAGAUCCCCCUGACUUUACAUUUACACAAUAGGCAGUCAUUAGAUCCCCCUGACUUUACAUUUACACAAUAGGCAGUCAUUAGAUCCCCCUGACUUUACAUUUACACAAUAGGCAGUCAUUAGAUCCCCUGACUUUACAUUUACACAAUAGGCAGUCAUUAGAUUCCUGACUUUACAUUUAUGCAAUAGACUUUGUUUACGUUAGGCAUUUAUUAGGCUCCCUGCUUUUAUAUUUAUACAGCGUGCAGUCAGUUGGAUUUUGCUUGAUUCUCCUAAAUCUAAUUUCUAUACAAUGUGCCUUCAUUAGCGCUUCUUUGUAUAAUCCAGGCGCAACAUACAACCGAUGCAGUAAUAAAGUAGGUGGGUUUUCUCGUGGGUACUUUUUUAAUAUCUGAUAAAAGCUUAGGUUUGGGGUGAAUGGCCUUGGCAAAAUCACUUAAAUAAAUCCCCAGACAUGCUUAGUUUAAAAACACUUUGACAUACACGUCCCUGGUCAGUACACUUUAGAGCUGGAUUCAGCAGUCUUUCUACUCUAUGAAUAGAAUAUCAUACAUUUUACUGAGUGAAAUGAGUCGGGAAUAUUGAACAGAGUUUGGAUAUUAAACAUUAUAACGAGAUUUCCUAAAUUAAAUUUUUUAAUGUUCAUACUUGCUCCAAGUACAGUCUAGUAUGUCAUGUUCUCAUAUCCCUUAAUUGUCCAAAUUUAUAUAUAUACAUUCACCCUAAUACCUGGUAAUAUAAUGACUGCCACAUCCAUGGGCCUAUGAUGUCUUACUGUAUAUUCAUUAUUACAGCUUCUAUGUAACAAUACAUUAAGCAUUAAUAGGAAGUCCAGGUAAUUGAGUGACUCCUAGCUCCCAAAUCCUGCAGUGCAUUCUAUUCGGCUCCCCUCUUUUUUUAUAAUUUAGACCAUUGCAAACCCCUCCUUUUCUGUAAUUGAGACUGUUACAACCUCUGUUUUUUCCCUUUCACCUAAUUACUAUGAAGAUCCCCGCUUUAAAUAACUUUAGUUGUUCAAAAACAAAAAUGUCCAAUCUGUAGUUUUGGUUAUUAUAAAAUCAAAAUUUUUCAGUUUGAUUGUCACUUUCUUUAAUUUAGGAUAGGAUGAGAUCCCCCUAUUCUGUAAUGUAGGAUAGGAUGUGAUUCCCCCCAUUCUGUAAUGUAGGAUAGGAUGUGAUUUCCCCCCCAUUCUGUAAUGUAGGAUAGGAUGUGAUUCCCCCCUCAUUCUGUAAUGUAGGAUAGGAUGUGAUUCCCCCCUCAUUCUGUAAUGUAGGAUAGGAUGUGAUUCCCCCCAUUCUGUAAUGUAGGAUAGGAUGUGAUUCCCCCCCCAUUCUGUAAUGUAGGAUAGGAUGAGAUCCCCCUAUUCUGUAAUGUAGGAUAGGAUGUGAUUCCCCCCAUUCUGUAAUGUAGGAUAGGAUGUGAUUCCCCCCAUUCUGUAAUGUAGGAUAGGAUGUGAUUCCCCCCAUUCUGUAAUGUAGGAUAGGAUGUGAUUCCCCCCCAUUCUGUAAUGUAGGAUAGGAUGUGAUUCCCCCCAUUCUGUAAUGUAGGAUAGGAUGUGAUUCCCCCCCAUUCUGUAAUGUAGGAUAGGAUGUGAUUCCCACCAUUCUGUAAUGUAGGAUAGGAUGUGAUAUCCUCCAUUCUCUAACUUAGGAUAGAUGGGAUCCCUUUAUUCUGUAAUGUAAGAUUGGAUGUGAUUCCCCCUCAUUCUGUAAUGCAGGAUAGUAUGAUAUCCCCCCAUUCUGAAAUGUAGGACAGGAUAUGAUCUUACCCAAGAUUGGAUGUGAUUCCCCCUCAUUCUGUAAUGCAUGAUAGUGUGAUAACCCCCC